ACCAAUGGAACAGAAUAGAAACACCGGAGAUCAAUCCAAACAUCUAUAACCAACUCAUAUUCGACAAAGGACCUAAAACCAACCCCUGGAACAAGGACAGCCUCUUCAACAAAUGGUGCUGGGAAAACUGGAUGUCCACAUGUCGCAGUAUGAAGCAAGACCCCUACCUUACACCUUAUACAAAAAUCCACUCAACAUGGAUCAAAGAACUAGAGAUGCGCCACGACACCAUGAAACUAAUUGAGAGCAUAGGGGAAACCCUUCAAGAUAUCGGAAUAGGCGAAGAAUUCCUGGAGAAGACCCCACAGGCACGGGUAAUCAAAGAUAAAAUAAACAAAUGGGAUUACCUCAAAUUGAAGAGUUUCUUAACAGCAAAGGAAACAGUCAGGAAAGCGAAGAGGCAACCAACAGAAUGGGAGACGUUAUUCGCAAACCACACAACAGAUAAAGGACUAACAACUAGAAUCUACACAAUGAUCAAAAAACACCACAGAAUCAAAACAAACAACCCAAUAAAAAAAUGGGCCAAGGACCUUAACAGACAUUUUUCAAAAGAGGAAAUCCAAAUGGCCAACAGACACAUGAAAAAAUGCUCAGGAUCUCUAGCCAUCAGGGAAAUGCAGAUCAAAACCACAAUGAGAUACCACCUCACUCUGGUUAGAUUGGCUUACAUACAGAAAUCAACCAACAACAGAUGCUGGUGAGGGUGUGGGGAAAAAGGGACACUAACCCACUGUUGGUGGGAAUGCAAACUGGUAAAGCAACUAUGGAAGACAGUCUGGAGAGCCCUCAGAAACCUGAAUAUAGCACUACCACAGGACCCAGCCAUCCCACUCCUUGGAAUAUACCCAAAUGGAAUUAAAGGGGUGAAAAAAGCCAUUUGCACCUCAAUAUUUGUUGCAGCUCAAUUCACAAUAGCUAAGACAUGGAAUCAACCUAAAUGUCCAUCAACGGAUGACUGGAUAAAGAAACUAUGGGAUAUGUACUCUAUGGAACACUAUGCAGCAGUAAAAAACAAUGAAAUCCGGGCAUUUACAACAAAAUGGAGGAAGCUGGAAAACAUCAUGCUGAGUGAAAUAAGCCAGUCCAAAAGGGAUAAAUAUCACAUGUUCUCCCUGAUCGAUGGCAACUAAACGAGCACCUAAAAUGAUACCCAUUGAAGUAAAAUGGACACUAUGAGAGACAAUGACAUGAGCAGCCCUUGGCUAGACUAUUGACGAACAACUUACUAUUUUGUUCCUUUAGUAUUUUUGUUGUUGUUGUUUUUGUUGCUCGAUUUGCUCUACACAAGACCACUGGUUGAACUCUGCAAUCAAUGCACAACCAUUCUUAAGCGUUUAAAAAUUAACAGAAAAUUGAUCUCUGUGGAACAUGGAAGUGGGAAUAAGAGAGGGAGGAGAUAUAUAGGACGGCACAUACUCACUCAGACCUACCUCCAAUGGUGGAACUGGAAAUGUGCCAGGGGAUUUCAACUCAACCUUACCAAGGAGGCAGGUACCAAUGCCAGCACACUUGGUAAAGUGACAAAUAUAAAUACACAACUGAUCAAAAAGAUAGGGUAAGUGGCAAAGAGAUUAUACAAAUAAGACCAGUGUAAGCAAAUAAUGAAAGAUAGAAUCAAAAGGGAGAGAAUGAUCCUGCGGGGGAAGCAGAACACACAGCAGACUCAGAAUGGCAAAUGCCCAAAACAGCACUCCUGCCUCAGAAUCAACCCUUGGGACAUUCGGAUCUGACUAAAAGGUCCAUGAGAGUCUCGCAGGCAUGGAAAGCCAUGACAUGGUGGCAAAAAACAAUCUAAAUGAAGGAUCCUGUUGAACAACACCCCAGCAGAAGGAUCAGGCCAUCAAGGAGAGAGGCGCCUUUCUCUGAAGGGAGGAAGGAACCUCCACUGUGACAUGGCCUUGACUAAACAAAUUCAGAGUUGCUGAACUCAAGGGGCUUCCAUAGCCUAGACAGCUCAUAGCAAGAGUCUCGGGUGAUUGCUGACAUCAUAAAUAAGAGUGCCAAUUGUUAAAUCAACAAAGGGAGUCACUGGGUUCAUGUUCCCCACACAGGAUCUCUGUCCUUAAUAUGUUUAACUAUGAAACUCAAAAACAACACUACUAGUCGAACAAUACCCUAUACCUGGUUCGGUUGUGUGAGUGCAACCUGUUGAAAUCCCUGCUUAGUAUAUACUAAGUUGAUCUUCAAUAUAUGAAGUAUCGGUGACAACACAGGGAAAGAAGAUUGGCCUUGCAUGGGUCAUGACUGCAACUUGCCUUGAAGGCUAACCCACCUGUCCAUGCCAGAGCCACACCUGUGGAAUCUACUCUUGUAGAAGAAGUCCUGCCAUUCGGGAAAACAUGGAUGAAUCUGAGCCUCAAGGCGGACACCGUGCUAAGUGAAAUAAUCCAGACACAAAAAGAAAAUUGCAGCAUGAUCUCACUGAUAUGUAGAAUAUGGAAGAAGUCCUACUGAGAGUAAGGCAAUCUCUGCUAUAGAAGACUUUAUGGUUGCUCCUUUCUGAAAGAGGUGUAUAUAACCUGCCAAGCAAUGCACCAUGUUCAAAGAGGUCCACCUGUCAACUUGGGAGAGGCAGAAGAAUUACCAGGAGGAACAGGAAGUAGUGCUGCUGCCACAAGUUCCUGUGGUGAUUCUUUGUCUUCAGUUUCUGUUCUUGGUAAUUAACUAAUUAACUAAUGAAUAAAUAUUGAACCCCAUGAUUACAUGUCUAUUGCAUUCUUCCUUGUGCUCAAGGCUCCAUAGGCAACAGAUGUAUGUUAAUGAGCUCUACAUACUGGUGAUUACAGAAGAAUACCAGAGAUGGUGAAGUAAUGGCCAGCUGUGUAUACUACUUUUCUUCCAGGUGGUAGGAGAUGUUCUAAGAGCUUUCCACAAAACCACCAGCAGUUCUCACUGGGGAAACUCCAAGCUUCCAUUAAAAAUAAGGAAAAUAAAGCUCACCAUAAACAUCCAAGUACAUACGUAAAUAAUGAAUAAAUAAGAUAAAUGAUGAUGGUGAUAUUAAGUAUUAGCAGAUACUUGGUGGCAGCUUCUUAAGCAAGUGGGACAUCCCAGAAUGAGAGGACUACUUAGUGAGUGGGAAUUAGAGUGAAAGGUGGAACUGAAUUUCGUGCUUAAUUUUUUCAGAUCACAGUGGAAUAAUUUCAUUCCUGGGGCCUGAAAAUUAAACAGUCUUUAUCUGGCCACACAUACAUACACAAAAUGGUUUUGUAGUAAAAACAGGAAAUCUUAUCUAUACUAGCCAACUUGUUUUUUGACUGAACUAAAAAGGAAUGGCUGACUUUUAGCUUGCGAUUAUGCUUUUUUCCCCCUGUGUUUUAUGACGCUCCCAGAUUUUGCAGUUAAUUAUUUCUAAAUAAUGAAACUGAGAUAAAACAAAGGGUAGAGCCUGUUGUAGUGCCCCUUGCCAAGAACCUGAAUGGACAAGGCAGUUCCUUUGUAAGUCGUAAUUCUCCACCUGGAAUGGGGAAAAUGAUACCUUUAUUAUUAUGUAAGUAAUAUUAAAUUAUUCAUUAGUAUUAUAUCAGUUUUACUGUUGUGAAGAUGAAGACCACUGAUGUGCAUAAAAUGAUACCAUUAGAUGUUAGUUUUGGGCUAAUUGCCAUCAAAUUCCGCUUUCAAAAUGACAGUUCUUGGAUAGUUUCUUAAGUCAUUUUUCAGAAGAGAACUGCUUCCAAAAUAAUUCCAGCAAUUUUCAAAAUUAUUGUUCUGUUGUGAUGCAGUCAGCCUCUCACCUUGUUCAGCUUUAACAUAUUCAAAGCGCUCUAGGGCUAUCCAGAGUUGCAAGCAUUGCUGAUACUAAAAUGUUUUGCUUUUGGUGAUGUUGUUUAUAAUCAACAAAUUUACUAUUAUUCACCCUUAGGAGUUCUUAAAGAAUAAUAUGCUCCACACACCCAGUUAAGACAUGAAAAAGAAGGGAAACAUUUUACAAGGCCUAAGGAACUAAAUAAAACUUAAGCCUUCCUUUAUAUUCUGACUUCCACAAGGGUCUUUUCAGAUUGGCAUCAAGUGCCCCUGAGGGAAAAACAGCUAAAACCUUUACUUCUUGGCAUCUCUUCCUACUUAGACCCUGAGAAUGGAACUUUGAUCUUGGUUAGAAGCUCUACGACAGCACAAACCCAUGCCAAAGCAGUUCUCAGUCAAAGCUCUUUCUCACUGAGUUGAGUAGAAUAUCCUAUGUGAAUACAGUUAGACUCAGAGAGCAAGUGGGACUUUAGAGCUUUGUAGCAACAAGAUCCAACUUGAUGUCAUGAUGGUUAAAAGUUGAAAAAGUUUCAUUUUUGCAAAAUAUUUUACAAACAACUUUCCACUAACAAUUUCAUGGUCAAUUCUUAAACUGCAAAGCUUUUUAACUGAUGUAUCAGAAUGUUUUGUUUCUUUAAAAAUACUUUGUAACAAGAAUAUUCUGCAAGCACUCCAAUGAGAGCAGUAGGUUCUCCCCCUCAGAUGCCAUCCCUGUACGUGACCCUGGUGAGUAUCCAGGGUAGCAUCCACUACAAAAAAGGCUGGAGCAACAUAAAAAGGAAUAAAACAUAGCCCCUGCCUUCCAAAGCCGGCAGUGUGGUGACCUAUGGCCGCUGUUGCAAAUUAUCAUUUGAAAACUUAGUUGUUUUCUCAACUAUUGCUCUUAGAAUAAAUUAUUGUUUUCAGCUUAUUGUGACAUCGAUGGUAUAAAUCACUGUUACAGCUGGCUUUCCAUGUGCUAUUUAACAAAGCUGUUAAAGUAACCAGGUAACAUAACUAGAUGAGAUAUUUUAUGGAUUAGUCACUGAACAUUUAAGUUUUCACAUCCUUUCAUUACUGGAGGACAGGAUUGUGAUUAUAAAAUAAAUUGAAAGUAUGUUAUUGCAAAAAU
This is a non-coding RNA of Oryctolagus cuniculus (rabbit), 4858 nucleotides long. Lineage: Eukaryota; Metazoa; Chordata; Mammalia; Lagomorpha; Leporidae. The record is from RefSeq and is a predicted model, not a curated record.